This 441-nucleotide ribosomal RNA is filed under the name uncultured bacterium. RNAcentral's name for it is "bacterial SSU rRNA". It matches the Rfam family "Bacterial small subunit ribosomal RNA", at positions 958 to 1398 of the family's 1533-position model. The record is from RNAcentral.
AACGCGAAGAACCUUACCUACCCUUGACAUGCCAAGAAUCUUGCAGAGAUGUGAGAGUGCCUUCGGGAACUUGGACACAGGUGCUGCAUGGCUGUCGUCAGCUCGUGUCGUGAGAUGUUGGGUUAAGUCCCGUAACGAGCGCAACCCCUGUCCUUAAUUGCCAGCACGUAAAGGUGGGAACUUUAAGGAGACCGCCGAUGAUAAGUCGGAGGAAGGUGGGGACGACGUCAAGUCAUCAUGGCCUUUAUGGGUAGGGCCACACACGUGCUACAAUGGGCGGUACAAAGAGACGCGAACUCGCGAGGGGAAGCAAAUCUCAAAAAGCCGCUCUCAGUCCGGAUUGGAGUCUGCAACUCGACUCCAUGAAGCUGGAAUCGCUAGUAAUCGCAAAUCAGAAUGUUGCGGUGAAUACGUUCCCGGGCCUUGUACACACCGAGUAUA